This 1130-nucleotide ribosomal RNA is filed under the name Listeria monocytogenes. Its description in RNAcentral is "partial 23S ribosomal RNA". It matches the Rfam family "Bacterial large subunit ribosomal RNA", at positions 408 to 1538 of the family's 2925-position model. Lineage: Bacteria; Bacillati; Bacillota; Bacilli; Caryophanales; Listeriaceae. The record is from RNAcentral.
CUGAGUACGGCGGAACACGUGAAAUUCCGUCGGAAUCCGGGAGGACCAUCUCCCAAGGCUAAAUACUCCCUAGUGACCGAUAGUGAACCAGUACCGUGAGGGAAAGGUGAAAAGCACCCCGGAAGGGGAGUGAAACAGUUCCUGAAACCGUGUGCCUACAAGUAGUUAGAGCCCGUUAAUGGGUGAUAGCGUGCCUUUUGUAGAAUGAACCGGCGAGUUACGAUUUGUUGCAAGGUUAAGCGGAAAAAGCGGAGCCGUAGCGAAAGCGAGUCUGAAUAGGGCGCAUAAGUAACAGGUCGUAGACCCGAAACCAGGUGAUCUACCCAUGUCCAGGAUGAAGGUAAGGUAAUACUUACUGGAGGUCCGAACCCACGCACGUUGAAAAGUGCGGGGAUGAGGUGUGGGUAGCGGAGAAAUUCCAAUCGAACUUGGAGAUAGCUGGUUCUCUCCGAAAUAGCUUUAGGGCUAGCCUCGAGGUAAAGAGUCAUGGAGGUAGAGCACUGUUUGGACUAGGGGCCCUUCUCGGGUUACCGAAUUCAGAUAAACUCCGAAUGCCAUGUACUUAUACUCGGGAGUCAGACUGCGAGUGAUAAGAUCCGUAGUCGAAAGGGAAACAGCCCAGACCACCAGUUAAGGUCCCCAAAUAUAUGUUAAGUGGAAAAGGAUGUGGGGUUGCUUAGACAACCAGGAUGUUGGCUUAGAAGCAGCCACCAUUGAAAGAGUGCGUAAUAGCUCACUGGUCGAGUGACCCCGCGCCGAAAAUGUACCGGGGCUAAACAUAUUACCGAAACUGUGGAUGAACCUCUUUAGAGGUUCGUGGUAGGAGAGCGUUCUAAGGGCGGUGAAGUCAGACCGGAAGGACUGGUGGAGCGCUUAGAAGUGAGAAUGCCGGUAUGAGUAGCGAAAGAAGGGUGAGAAUCCCUUCCACCGAAUAUCUAAGGUUUCCUGAGGAAGGCUCGUCCGCUCAGGGUUAGUCGGGACCUAAGCCGAGGCCGAUAGGCGUAGGCGAUGGACAACAGGUAGAGAUUCCUGUACCAGUGCUAAUUGUUUAACCGAUGGGGUGACACAGAAGGAUAGGGAAUCGCACGAAUGGAAAUGUGCGUCCAAGCAGUGAGUGUGAGAAGUAGGCA